UAGAAGGACUCAAACCAUGGUGUCAGGACUC
Molecule: non-coding RNA, 31 nt
Filed under: Rattus norvegicus (Norway rat)
Lineage: Eukaryota; Metazoa; Chordata; Mammalia; Rodentia; Muridae
Source: RNAcentral